UGCUAGUCUUAGCAGCUAGCCAGGAGCUCUCUCUAGCUUUCCUGGUCCAUGCUGGAAUCACUGCUCUAUCCAGGGUGAUGGCAUUCUUUCCUCCUGCUAGGAGCCUGACCUUACCUCCUCAAGUGCCAGGCAGCUACUGAACUCUGCUCUGCCCUGCAGCCCUUCUUUUAUGAGCUUGUCAGGCCAUGAUUGGCUACUCCUCUCAGCCCCUUUCUAAUUGGCUGCCUCCAGUGCAGCCUCCCUAGGGCUGCUUUUAGCCCCUUUUCUUCCAGUGAGGGGCAGCUGCCCCAUUACACUAACCUCCCCAGUUAGAUAUUGGCUUAUGCCCUGGAGCAUAAAGAUUAACAUCCCUUGUAAACUUCUGAAAGUGGAAUAAUAAAAAAAAUCUGUCUUUCAGCCCCCCAAUGCACAAACCAGGCAUACAAACAUACAGAGGCUCAGAUCCUGGACUGACUCCAGGCUCUUUGUGCUAUUCCACUUAUAUAAAGGUUAUCAUAAACCUGGAUGACCUGAUCCCUGGAAGACAUACUACAUAGGCAACUCCAUAGUUGGUUUAGAGCUGCCACAGCAGCUUGUACAGCUGCCAUGCACUCUUGUUAAUCCUGUAGAGAGCAUGCCC
Long non-coding RNA from Dermochelys coriacea (leatherback sea turtle), 619 nucleotides. RefSeq lists it as uncharacterized. NCBI's taxonomy places the organism in Eukaryota, Metazoa, Chordata, Testudines, Dermochelyidae. The record is from RefSeq and is a predicted model, not a curated record. The transcript is spliced from 2 exons.